This 445-nucleotide ribosomal RNA is filed under the name uncultured bacterium. RNAcentral describes it as "bacterial SSU rRNA". It matches the Rfam family "Bacterial small subunit ribosomal RNA", at positions 335 to 797 of the family's 1533-position model. The record is from RNAcentral.
ACUCCUACGGGAGGCAGCAGCAGGGAAUCUUGCGCAAUGGGCGAAAGCCUGACGCAGCAACGCCGCGUGAGGGAUGAAGGCCUUCGGGUUGUAAACCUCUUUCAGAAGGGAAGAAAUUGACGGUACCUUCAGAAGAAGCCCCGGCCAACUACGUGCCAGCAGCCGCGGUAAUACGUAGGGGCAAGCGUUGUCCGGAAUUAUUGGGCGUAAAGAGCUCGUAGGCGGCUCAGCAAGUCGACUGUGAAAUCCCGAGGCUCAACCUCGGAACUGCAGUCGAUACUGCUGUGGCUUGAGUCUGGUAGAGGAGAAUGGAAUUCCCGGUGUAGCGGUGAAAUGCGCAGAUAUCGGGAGGAACACCAGUAGCGAAGGCGGUUCUCUGGGCCAGUACUGACGCUGAGGAGCGAAAGCGUGGGUAGCAAACAGGAUUAGAUACCCUGGUAGCGAG